RNAcentral lists this ribosomal RNA (253 nucleotides) under uncultured bacterium. RNAcentral's name for it is "partial 16S ribosomal RNA". It matches the Rfam family "Bacterial small subunit ribosomal RNA", at positions 524 to 776 of the family's 1533-position model. The record is from RNAcentral.
GACGAACCGUGCGAACGUUAUUCGGAAUCACUGGGCUUAAAGGGUGCGUAGGCGGGUUGCCAAGUCUGUGGUGAAGUCCUCCGGCUUAACCGGAGAACUGCCGUGGAUACUGGCGACCUCGAGGGGUGUAGGGGCUUGCGGAACUGUGCGUGGAGCGGUGAAAUGCGUUGAUAUGCACAGGAACUCCGGUGGCGAAAGCGGCGAGCUGGACACCUUCUGACGCUGAGGCACGAAAGCGUGGGUAGCGAACCGG